UGGGGAAUAUUGGGCAAUGGGGGAAACCCUGACCCAGCAACGCCGCGUGAAGGAAGAAGGCCUUCGGGUUGUAAACUUCUUUGACGAGGGACGAAACAAAUGACGGUACCUCGAAAACAAGCCACGGCUAACUACGUGCCAGCAGCCGCGGCAAUACGUAGGGGGCAAGCGUUGUCCGGAUUUACUGGGUGUAAAGGGCGCGUAGGCGGGCCUGCAAGUCAGAUGUGAAAUGCUGAGGCUUAACCUCAGAGCUGCAUUUGAAACUGGUGUUCUUGAGUGAUGGAGAGGCAGGCGGAAUUCCUAGUGUAGCGGUGAAAUGCGUAGAUAUUAGGAGGAACACCAGUGGCGAAGGCGGCCUGCUGGACAUUAACUGACGCUGAGGCGCGAAAGCGUGGGGAGCAAACA
This 405-nucleotide ribosomal RNA is filed under the name uncultured prokaryote. Its description in RNAcentral is "bacterial SSU rRNA". It matches the Rfam family "Bacterial small subunit ribosomal RNA", at positions 355 to 774 of the family's 1533-position model. The record is from RNAcentral.